GCCAUUGCACUCCAGCCUGGGCAACAGAGCAAGACUCCGUCUCAAAAAUAAAUAAAUAAAUAAAUUAAUUAAUUAAAGAGUGCAGACUCUUAGGCCCCACCUUUGCUGUAUCUGCUGAGUCCGAAUGUGCAUUCUGUCCACAGUGAAGUUUAAGAAGCACUGAUCGAACGUGCUGUAUGUUUUAGUUUUCUAUCUAACGUCACCCACUUGGAAUGUAAGCUCCAGGUCAGCGAUUCUUGCCUAUUUUGUUGACUGCUUCCAUCCACAGGUGACUAGAAAGCUGCCUGGCUUUCAAUAUAUUUGUUGGAUUAAUCUAUUGACAUCAGGUGCCCAGGUUCUAGCUCUGAGCCCAGGGGAGAUUAAUACUGUGUCUUUCCUACAGAGAAAUCACAGAGUUGCAAAUCCUCCCUGCUCAGCUUCAUCAGCACUUAAUACCAUUUGCUCGAGCUCCUGGGUGAGAGCUACAAAACUAGUCCCUGAGCCCAGUGGGAGGAUCCACUAGUCCACACCCUCGACCUCUGUCAGCCUCUUCAGCCCCUUCUCGCUUGAGGAGAAUGUGAUCGUUGUUACAGGCAUCAGAAAAAGGCAAGUUGGGGGGCCUCCUUGCUGUUCGCCAAACCCAGUCCUACCUGGGCCUUUGCUGUAGCUGAUGUUUGUGCUGGGGAUGCCCCGUGACCAACUCCCUUCACCUGCUUCAAGUCCUUUGCUCAUACGAAGGCAUACAAGUACCAACUAGGUGUCUCUUUCUCCAAGGAGCUCCACAAAAUAUUCCAUCCAGAGUGCAGAUGAUGGUAGGUAGUCUUUAAUUUACACAGGUGUCUUCCCAGUAGGUUUACGGGAGAAUCAAGAGAAUGAAAGAACACAUGUUCCUCAGUCAGAGGGCCUAUCUGUAUGGGAACUGCCAGCGAAAAGUAACAAGUAGAAAGUUUACCCGGAAAAUCAACAACCUGCAUUGAUCUAUCACCAGAUGAAAAUUGGGAAAUUUCAGAGGAACUUGAAGCAUAAGUAGCACCAAAGGGCCGGGGGCAGUGGCUCACGCCUAUAAUCCCAACACUUGGGGAGGUGGAG
This 1068-nucleotide long non-coding RNA is filed under the name Homo sapiens (human). Its description in RNAcentral is "HSALNT0376323". The record is from RNAcentral. Lineage: Eukaryota; Metazoa; Chordata; Mammalia; Primates; Hominidae.